RNAcentral lists this ribosomal RNA (723 nucleotides) under uncultured Neisseriales bacterium. RNAcentral describes it as "bacterial SSU rRNA". It matches the Rfam family "Bacterial small subunit ribosomal RNA", at positions 59 to 768 of the family's 1533-position model. Lineage: Bacteria; Pseudomonadati; Pseudomonadota; Betaproteobacteria; Neisseriales. The record is from RNAcentral.
AAGUCGAACGGCAGCGAGGAGAAGCUUGCUUCUCUGUCGGCGAGUGGCGAACGGGUGAGUAUAGCAUCGGAACGUGCCAAGUAGUGGGGGAUAACCAAACGAAAGUUUGGCUAAUACCGCGUAAGCUCCAAGGAGGAAAGUAGGGGACCUAAAUAAGGCCUUACGCUAUUUGAUCGGCCGAUGUCGGAUUAGCUAGUUGGUGGGGUAAUGGCUCACCAAGGCAAUGAUCCGUAGCGGGUCUGAGAGGACGAUCCGCCACACUGGGACUGAGACACGGCCCAGACUCCUACGGGAGGCAGCAGUGGGGAAUUUUGGACAAUGGGGGAAACCCUGAUCCAGCCAUGCCGCGUGUAUGAAGAAGGCCUUAGGGUUGUAAAGUACUUUUGUUAGGGAAGAAAAGCUAGUUUUUAAUAAAAAUUAGUGAUGACGGUACCUAAAGAAUAAGCACCGGCUAACUACGUGCCAGCAGCCGCGGUAAUACGUAGGGUGCAAGCGUUAAUCGGAAUUAUUGGGCGUAAAGCGAGUGCAGACGGUUACUUAAGCCAGAUGUGAAAUCCCCAAGCUUAACUUGGGACGUGCAUUUGGAACUGGGUGACUAGAGUGUGUCAGAGGGAGGUAGAAUUCCACAUGUAGCGGUGGAAUGCGUAGAGAUGUGGAGGAAUACCGAUGGCGAAGGCAGCCUCCUGGGAUAACACUGACGUUGAGGCUCGAAAGCGUGGGGAG